UUAUUUUGUUUUGACCUGCAAAUAAGAUUCAGGCCAGCCUGUGUAUAAUUAGUUGCCCUGGGUUAUCUUAUUGGUCCAAAUUUGCCCUAUUUUAGUAAAGUAGUCUCAGUGGGGAUGAUUUACUACCAUAGUGAUCAGUUUCACCAGUGCACCUACAUUUAGCAUAACUUGUAGUUGACUUAUCAAAUUUGUAGUCAGUGUGUAGUUAGUUGCUCUUUGCUAGUAUAGAGUAACAUCACUGGUGCAAUUUAGAACCUAUGUUAGUAAAUAAGCCUUUUUUGUUCUCUAUGGUGCUGAUAAGCAUAUACAAUUUUAUAUAAUACAAUAUGCGCUUUAUUUAUGAACAGCUGUGCCCUUAAAAGGCCACAGACAAAUCUCUGUGAAAUACAACUUUGCGGUAUUAUUUAGGUAUUUUGUGAAGCAUUGGCCAGCAAUCCUUGAAAUUGCUGUUAACUUUAUGGUUUUGUUUAAGGUAGUACUAGUUAAUCAAAGAAAAAAAGGAAAAACGGGUUGAUAAGGAAUAAUGACAAUAAAUGUUGCUAAAAAUGUUUAUAUCAUGUAAUAUAAUUGCAGUUUUUUAUAACACAAUAAAUUUUGUACUUAAAUUGUU
Molecule: long non-coding RNA, 610 nt
Organism: Xenopus laevis (African clawed frog)
Lineage: Eukaryota; Metazoa; Chordata; Amphibia; Anura; Pipidae
Exons: 2
Source: RefSeq, a predicted model, not a curated record